GUGCCAGCAGCCGCGGUAAUACGUAGGGUGCAAGCGUUGUCCGGAAUUAUUGGGCGUAAAGAGCUCGUAGGCGGUUUGUCGCGUCGAAUGUGAAAACCCGGGGCUCAACCCCGGGCCUGCAUUCGAUACGGGCAGACUAGAGUUCGGUAGGGGAGUCUGGAAUUCCUGGUGUAGCGGUGAAAUGCGCAGAUAUCAGGAGGAACACCGGUGGCGAAGGCGGGACUCUGGGCCGAUACUGACGCUGAGGAGCGAAAGCGUGGGGAGCAAACAGGAUUAGAUACCCUGGUAGUCC
Molecule: ribosomal RNA, 292 nt
Filed under: uncultured bacterium
Lineage: Bacteria
Description: partial 16S ribosomal RNA
Rfam family: Bacterial small subunit ribosomal RNA
Source: RNAcentral